UAUAUCUUAGUAUAAAAUGUACGAAAGUUUUUGAUACUUUAGGAAGUGGUUUAUAACUAUUAGGUAUAA
RNAcentral lists this transfer RNA (69 nucleotides) under Curculionoidea sp. 2 KM-2017. RNAcentral describes it as "tRNA-Gln". Lineage: Eukaryota; Metazoa; Arthropoda; Insecta; Coleoptera. The record is from RNAcentral.